GUGGAAGCUGGCGGGAGCCGGUUGCUCCUGGACCAGCUCCUGGAAGAGGAACACGGCCUGGGGUCUGGGCCGCCGCUUGUCCGCGGCUCGGCUGCCGCUGCCAGGCAGUCAAGGGGGCGCUGGUGGGGGCGCGCUGCUCGGGGAGCCGGUGGGUGACGCCUGGGCUGUGCGGCUAGGGAGGCGCCCAGGGAGGGGAGCGGAGGAACGGGUGAGGAAAGGAAGCUGCAUGAAGGAAAAUGGCGCAAUGCACAAAGCAGGGUCAUCAGAAGCCUCUCAAUUCCAAAGAUGAUAAUAGUGAAAAACAUUGCUCAGUGACAGUGAACCCUUAGCAUAUGAAGAAAGAUUGUAAAGUCCUGAAUGAAUUAAGAAGAGAAAGCAUGAGCCUAUGAAUCUAACCUCAUCUGUGAUGGUCUGCAGCUGGGAGCAACCUGAUCAGUGUCAGUCCCUUUGCAGCCAUUGGCUGGGAGCCUGCAUUUUAUCUGGAAUGAUAUUUGAAAUAUGUCAUCCUAGCCGUGCCUUCACUGUGGGCUGGGAGGCGAGUUAGUCAGAAUCUGCAUUAUGGAAUGUUUUGGAUGACAAGCUUGUAUUUUCAAAAGUACACACCCUGUGGGAGGUGCUCUGUACAUAGGCUGAGAUACUGCACAUAAAAUUGCCUCUGAAGCCCAGUGAUCUGAAAACCCGGUCCUCAGCCUUUGAUAAUUUCAGCUGUUUUAUGAAAGUCCUCCAUGUGGAUGAAAGUAUCAUCAAGCCGGAGCAAGAGUUUUUCAUUGCCCUAUUUGAGAAGAGCUGCGUGAGUGACUUUUAUAUUCAGGAUAGAGAUACAUUCUUCAAUCCAGCCACCAGAAGCCACAUUUGCAACUUCAGCCUCCGUCAGAGGACCUCAGCUGCCCCAGCGAACAGGGCCUUCUGUACAGGGAAUGGGCUCCUCCUCGAAGCAUAGACAAGAAGCAGCCCUUAGAUCUCAUCAGGAAAUUCUGCACAGAGAAGGUCAGAAUCUACUUUGAUUGUCUGGGCUAUUACACUCAGAUGCUCCUCCUGGCAGCAGUCGUGGGGGUGACUUGCUUUCUGUAUGGAUAUUUUAAUCAAAAUAAGUACCUGGAGGUAACUUCUCUUUAUUCCUUGUUGCCGUGCUUACUUA
Camelus dromedarius (Arabian camel) is the source of this 1138-nucleotide long non-coding RNA. RefSeq lists it as uncharacterized. NCBI's taxonomy places the organism in Eukaryota, Metazoa, Chordata, Mammalia, Artiodactyla, Camelidae. The transcript has 7 exons. The record is from RefSeq and is a predicted model, not a curated record.